Molecule: unclassified non-coding RNA, 622 nt
Filed under: Hevea brasiliensis (rubber tree)
Lineage: Eukaryota; Viridiplantae; Streptophyta; Magnoliopsida; Malpighiales; Euphorbiaceae
Source: RNAcentral
CUGGAAUUCUGCCCAAAAUUGUAAGCAACUCUGAGAUUAUUGGAAAUGUUGGGAAGGGGUGGCCAGUUACUGGUCUUCCAAUUGCAGGAUGUCUUGGUGACCAGCAUGCUGCAAUGUUAGGACAAGCAUGUAGAAAGGGUGAGGCCAAAAGCACAUAUGGAACUGGUGCUUUCAUACUUCUCAACACCGGCGAGGAUGUAAUUCAGUCAAAGCAUGGGCUUCUAACCACUCUGGCUUUUAAGCUUGGCCCAAAAGCACCUACUAAUUAUGCUUUAGAGGGUUCCAUUGCUAUUGCUGGAGCUGCAGUUCAGUGGCUUAGAGAUAGUCUUGGGAUAAUUAGUAGUGCAAGUGAGAUUGAGGAACUUGCAAAGCAGGUUGAGUCAACUGGUGGCGUGUAUUUUGUGCCUGCUUUUAAUGGACUGUUUGCUCCAUGGUGGCGUGAUGAUGCUCGUGGGGUUUGCAUUGGGAUCACAAGGUUUACAAAUAAGGCUCACAUUGCUCGUGCUGUACUUGAAAGCAUGUGUUUUCAAGUUAAAGAUGUGUUGGAGUCAAUGCACAAAGAUGCAGGGGAGAAAGGUGAACAUAGGAAUGCAAAGGGGGAGUUCUUGCUUAGAGUGGAUGG